Molecule: ribosomal RNA, 498 nt
Filed under: uncultured bacterium
Lineage: Bacteria
Description: partial 16S ribosomal RNA
Rfam family: Bacterial small subunit ribosomal RNA
Source: RNAcentral
AUUGAACGCUGGCGGCAUGCCUUACACAUGCAAGUCGAACGGUAACAGGUCUUCGGAUGCUGACGAGUGGCGAACGGGUGAGUAAUACAUCGGAACGUGCCUAGUAGUGGGGGAUAACUACUCGAAAGAGUGGCUAAUACCGCAUGAGAUCUACGGAUGAAAGCAGGGGAUCGCAAGCCCUUGUGCUACUAGAGCGGCCGAUGGCAGAUUAGGUAGUUGGUGGGAUAAAAGCUUACCAAGCCGACGAUCUGUAGCUGGUCUGAGAGGACGAUCAGCCACACUGGGACUGAGACACGGCCCAGACUCCUACGGGAGGCAGCAGUGGGGAAUUUUGGACAAUGGGCGAAAGCCUGAUCCAGCAAUGCCGCGUGCAGGAUGAGGGCCUUCGGGUUGUAAACUGCUUUUGUACGGAACGAAAAGCCCCGGGUUAAUACCCUGGGGUCAUGACGGUACCGUAAGAAUAAGCACCGGCUAACUACGUGCCAGCCGCCGCAGUAA